This is a non-coding RNA of Phyllosticta capitalensis, 114 nucleotides long. The record is from the annotation of a GenBank genome assembly. Lineage: Eukaryota; Fungi; Ascomycota; Dothideomycetes; Botryosphaeriales; Phyllostictaceae.
GCUGUCGUGGUGCAAGCUAGCACGCUAUGUGCCGGUAGGUGGCAAACUUACGUAGUAAGAAUCCUCCUUUAGGACUAACGCGUAGAGAUCUGAGUUCGAGUCUCAGCGAUGGCA